UUUUUUUUUUUUUUUAAGUGUCAGUCUCCAGGAACCUUUAUCAGAUACCAGGGAACAUAAGUUUACAUCUUAGCUAAAGAGCUUAUCCACUCACAGAAAGCUUCCCAUAUAGCCUUGGAGGACAGAGGGUGGAAGUAAAAAUCAGACUUAACUACUAAAAUUACUUCUGCCUGAAAUUUUAGCUUAUAACUUGAACAGCUUACAACUAAAAUCCUUGAAAAUGAAGUCUUAGCGCUUCCAGCCGAUAGAUGUUUUCCACACAGGAGAUGAAAGAGCAGGUACAGCCUGGGUUUCUUUCAACGGGAAGGAACAGCAAUUGGUUGUGGUCUGUAGGAAAAGAAAAAAAGUAAAUGUCCUUUAAAAGCUUAAUAGUACCAAGAAGAUCUUUUUCUCCCUUUCUCUCCCAGUGGAACCAUAAAGUCCUCCCAGGCAAAGACCAGGCCGACAAAAAGAAAAAGAGAUAACAAAAAAACUGAAGUAUCAUGUGGAUAGACUUACAGACUGAUCACAACUCACGUGAUGACAUUUUAUUACUGAUGGAACAGAAUGGGAAACAGUUUUUCUUAACGGACAUUAUUUCCUGUUUCUGGAAUACAGUGGUUUGUUUCUUUCAUUCAUACCACAUAGCAGGUCAGUUGGCUUCCCAGCGCUCACCUUUGUUUAUUGGCCAUGCAAUGGUUUGACUUUUCUCCCACUGGACAUAUCCUUGCUCUGUCUCCUUCCUGUACCAAUAGUUUUUGUCAUCGCUUUUGGAAUUUUAACAGCAUUCUGAGAAAGUUUGUUUAGAGAAAAUAUGGGAAGGAUAAUAAAGGAAUUUUUAAGUAGGAAAGCUGGGAGUGAAUAUUGGGUUCUAAAAGGUGAAGAGCUUCUUCUGCUCAAAUGAAGGGGAGGAUAACCAGGCUGCUGGCUGUGGGAUCACAUCAGUGACCAGCAGCGAGUUUGGCACUCAGGCAGAGCGCACAUGGAGAGGGCUUGAGAAUAUCCCCAUGAGUGUGCAAUGAGACAGAAAAAUGUAAGCUAUGGCC
Molecule: long non-coding RNA, 1025 nt
Filed under: Macaca fascicularis (crab-eating macaque)
Lineage: Eukaryota; Metazoa; Chordata; Mammalia; Primates; Cercopithecidae
Description: lncRNA (ENSMFAG00000060333.1)
Source: RNAcentral